Molecule: long non-coding RNA, 340 nt
Organism: Arabidopsis thaliana (thale cress)
Lineage: Eukaryota; Viridiplantae; Streptophyta; Magnoliopsida; Brassicales; Brassicaceae
Product: other RNA
Exons: 1
Source: RefSeq
GCUCUCUCUCGCUAAUUUGGAUAGAUACCUCCGAGCAAGGGUUAAGUGUAAGCCUCGUUUGUAUUUGUAACGUAAGUUGUCAUCAUCGUAAAGAGUUAAUCAGGUUAAUUAUUUUCUUUAGUAAGGAAUGUGUUUUACCCGAUUCUUCUAUCAUUAUGUUAUCUUUGUUGUUGAACCUCUCGAUUCUCGACCUUGGAUUUUGAAAAUUGGUAUAAUUAUUAUUUGACCCUUUUUGUUUGUUAUGCUUUUCUUUGUGUGUGUGUGUGUGUGUUUAUUUGGUUAUUGUAAUCUUUGGGAAUUCUUGUUUUGAGUGGUUUUGGAAGAUGUGUCGUGUUAGAUG